UACGGAGGGUGCGAGCGUUGUUCGGAAUCACUGGGCGUAAAGCGCGUGUAGGCGGCCUCUUAAGUUUGAUGUGAAAGCCCGGGGCUCAACUCCGGAAGUGCAUCGGAUACUGGGAGGCUAGAGUACCGGAGAGGAGGGUGGAAUUCCUGGUGUAGCGGUGAAAUGCGUAGAUAUCAGGAGGAACACCUGUGGCGAAGGCGGCCCUCUGGACGGAUACUGACGCUAAGACGCGAAAGCGUGGGGAGCAAACAGG
RNAcentral lists this ribosomal RNA (253 nucleotides) under uncultured bacterium. RNAcentral's name for it is "partial 16S ribosomal RNA". It matches the Rfam family "Bacterial small subunit ribosomal RNA", at positions 524 to 776 of the family's 1533-position model. The record is from RNAcentral.